This 277-nucleotide ribosomal RNA is filed under the name uncultured prokaryote. RNAcentral describes it as "partial 16S ribosomal RNA". It matches the Rfam family "Bacterial small subunit ribosomal RNA", at positions 524 to 801 of the family's 1533-position model. The record is from RNAcentral.
UACGUAGGGGGCUAGCGUUAUCCGGAAUUAUUGGGCGUAAAGGGUGCGUAGGUGGUUUCUUAAGUCAGAGGUGAAAGGCUACGGCUCAACCGUAGUAAGCCUUUGAAACUGGGAAACUUGAGUGCAGGAGAGGAGAGUGGAAUUCCUAGUGUAGCGGUGAAAUGCGCAGAUAUUAGGAGGAACACCAGUCGCGAAGGCGGCUCUCUGGACUGUAACUGACACCGAGGCACGAAAGCGUGGGGAGCAAACAGGAUUAGAUACCCUGGUAGUCCCUGAG